This 468-nucleotide ribosomal RNA is filed under the name uncultured soil bacterium. RNAcentral's name for it is "bacterial SSU rRNA". It matches the Rfam family "Bacterial small subunit ribosomal RNA", at positions 8 to 524 of the family's 1533-position model. The record is from RNAcentral.
AGAGUUUGAUCCUGGCUCAGAGCGAACGCUGGCGGCAGGCCUAACACAUGCAAGUCGAGCGCCCCGCAAGGGGAGCGGCAGACGGGAGAGUAACACGUGGGAACGUGCCCUUCAGUUCGGAACAACCCAGGGAAACUUGGGCUGAUACCGGAUACGUCCGAAAGGAGAAAGAUUUAUCGCUGAAGGAUCGGCCCGCGUCUGAUUAGCUAGUUGGUGAGGUAACGGCUCACCAAGGCGACGAUCAGUAGCUGGUCUGAGAGGAUGAUCAGCCUCAUUGGGACUGAGACACGGCCCAAACUCCUACGGGAGGCAGCAGUGGGGAAUAUUGGACAAUGGGCGCAAGCCUGAUCCAGCCGUGCCGCGUGGGUGAUGAAGGCCCUAGGGUUGUAAAGCCCUUUCGGCGGGGAAGAUAAUGACGGUACCCGCAGAAGAAGCCCCGGCUAACUUCGUGCCAGCAGCCGCGGUAAU